Molecule: long non-coding RNA, 152 nt
Organism: Gavialis gangeticus (Gharial)
Lineage: Eukaryota; Metazoa; Chordata; Crocodylia; Gavialidae
Exons: 3
Source: RefSeq, a predicted model, not a curated record
CCAGUGCCCUGUGAGGGAGAGGUAGGCAUGAUCUCCACCCCGGCUGCUCCAGAUGUCUAAGGUGAAGUGUAAGGCCAUCUGCGGACCUGCCUUGCUCAGCUUGUCCCUCAAGUACUCCUCACAUGCUUCACACAGGGAGGGUAGCACUGUCC